RNAcentral lists this microRNA (20 nucleotides) under Glycine max (soybean). RNAcentral's name for it is "gma-miR4414a-3p". The record is from miRBase by way of RNAcentral. Lineage: Eukaryota; Viridiplantae; Streptophyta; Magnoliopsida; Fabales; Fabaceae.
UCCAACGAUGCGGGAGCUGC